Molecule: ribosomal RNA, 466 nt
Filed under: uncultured bacterium
Lineage: Bacteria
Description: bacterial SSU rRNA
Rfam family: Bacterial small subunit ribosomal RNA
Source: RNAcentral
UAGGGAAUAUUGGACAAUGGGUGAGAGCCUGAUCCAGCCAUGCCGCGUGCAGGAAGAAGGCGUUAUGCGUUGUAAACUGCUUUUGCCAGGGGAUAAAAAGACCGUGCGCGGUUAAUUGAAGGUACCUGGUGAAUAAGCCACGGCUAACUACGUGCCAGCAGCCGCGGUAAUACGUAGGUGGCAAGCGUUGUCCGGAUUUAUUGGGUUUAAAGGGUGCGUAGGUGGCCCUGUAAGUCAGUGGUGAAAUAUCUCAGCUUAACUGAGAGGGUGCCAUUGAUACUGCAGGGCUUGAGUACAGAUGAGGUAGGCGGAAUUGACGGUGUAGCGGUGAAAUGCGUAGAGAUCGGAAGGAACACCAGUGGCGAAGGCGGCUACCUGGCCUAAUACUGACACUGAGGCACGAAAGCGUGGGGAGCAAACAGGAUUAGAUACCCUAGUAGUCCCUGAGCGGGCUGGCAAGGCGCAU